ACUGCUAUCGGGGUCCGACUAAGCCAUGCGAGUCAAGGGGGCGUCCCUCUGGGACACCACCGGCGGACGGCUCAGUAACACGUCGGUAACCUACCCUCGGGAGGGGGAUAACCCCGGGAAACUGGGGCUAAUCCCCCAUAGGCCUGAGGUACUGGAAGGUCCUCAGGCCGAAAGGGGCUCUGCCSGCCCGAGGAUGGGCCGGCGGCCGAUUAGGUAGUUGGUGGGGUAACGGCCCACCAAGCCGAAGAUCGGUACGGGCUGUGAGAGCAGGAGCCCGGAGAUGGACACUGAGACACGGGUCCAGGCCUACGGGGCGCAGSAGGCGCGAAACCUCCGCAAUGCGGGAAACCGCGACGGGGGGACCCCGAGUUCGUGGCAUCGCCACGGCUUCUCCGGAGUGUAAAAAGCUCCGGGAAUAAGGGCUGGGCAAGGCCGGUGGCAGCCGCCGCGGUAAUACCGGCGGCCCGAGUGGUGGCCGCUAUUAUUGGGCCUAAACCGUCCGUAGCCGGGCCCGUAAGUCCCUGGCGAAAUCCCACGGCUCAACCGUGGGGCUUGCUGGGGAUACUGCGGGCCUUGGGACCGGGAGAGGCGGGGGUACCCCUGGGGUAGGGGUSAAAUCCUAUAAUCCCAGGGGGACCCCAGUGGCGAAGGCGCCCCGCUGGAACGGGUCCGACGGUGAGGGACGAAGGCCAGGGGAGCAAACCGGAUUAGAUACCUGGGUAGUCCUGGCUGUAAAGGAUGCGGGCUAGGUGUCGGGUGAGCUUCGGGCUCGCCCGGUGCCGUAGGGAAGCCGUUAAGCCCGCCGCCUGGGGAGUACCGGCCGCAAGGCUGAAACUUAAAGGAAUUGGCGGGGGAGCACUACAAGGGGUGGAGCGUGCGGUUUAAUUGGAUUCAACGCCGGA
Molecule: ribosomal RNA, 902 nt
Filed under: uncultured archaeon O23C2
Lineage: Archaea; Methanobacteriati; Methanobacteriota; Thermococci; Thermococcales
Description: bacterial SSU rRNA
Rfam family: Archaeal small subunit ribosomal RNA
Source: RNAcentral